CUUGACCGACCCGAGCCACAGCGGCCGGUCCUCGGGCCGGUUCCGGCCGUAGGUGGCCAGCAGGGCCUGCGCCUC
RNAcentral lists this antisense RNA (75 nucleotides) under Streptomyces sp. SirexAA-E. RNAcentral describes it as "ASpks TB sRNA". It matches the Rfam family "ASpks TB sRNA". The record is from Rfam by way of RNAcentral. RNAcentral also lists the same sequence under 6 other names. Lineage: Bacteria; Bacillati; Actinomycetota; Actinomycetes; Kitasatosporales; Streptomycetaceae.